Molecule: ribosomal RNA, 446 nt
Filed under: uncultured bacterium
Lineage: Bacteria
Description: partial 16S ribosomal RNA
Rfam family: Bacterial small subunit ribosomal RNA
Source: RNAcentral
CCUACGGGGGGCAGCAGUAGGGAAUUUUCGGCAAUGGGGGGAACCCUGACCGAGCAACGCCGCGUGAACGAAGAAGUUAUUCGUAAUGUAAAGUUCUUUUAACAGGGAAGAAAGAGAACUUUGACGGUACCUGAAGAAUAAGCUCCGGCUAACUACGGGCCAGCAGCCGCGGUAAUACGUAGGGAGCGAGCGUUAUCCGGAUUUAUGGGGCGAAAAGGGUGCGUAGAUGGCAUAGUAAGUCUUUUGUAAAAAUGCUGGGCUCAACCCAGUAGGGCAAAAGAUACGGCAAAGUUAGAGUAUGACAGAGGCAAGUGGAACGACAUGUGUAGCGGUAAAAUGCGUAAAUAUAUGUAAGAACACCAGUGGCGAAGGCGGCUUGCUGGGUCGAUACUGACAUUGAGGCACGAAAGCGUGGGGAGCAAACAGGAUUAGAUACCCGGGUAGUC